Molecule: transfer RNA, 65 nt
Filed under: Dipodomys ordii (Ord's kangaroo rat)
Lineage: Eukaryota; Metazoa; Chordata; Mammalia; Rodentia; Heteromyidae
Rfam family: tRNA
About the family: Transfer RNA (tRNA) molecules are approximately 80 nucleotides in length.
Source: Rfam by way of RNAcentral
GGUGGCUCAGUGGUAGAGUGCUUGCUUUCCAUGCAUAAGGCCCUGGGUUCAAUUCCUCAGCACCA